Molecule: long non-coding RNA, 658 nt
Organism: Maniola jurtina (meadow brown)
Lineage: Eukaryota; Metazoa; Arthropoda; Insecta; Lepidoptera; Nymphalidae
Exons: 2
Source: RefSeq, a predicted model, not a curated record
CAAAACGAAUGUGAUCGUAGGUAGAAAACGUGUUUUAUUUCACGUUCGGUUUAUCAACUAAAAAAAUAUUGGUUUCGAAAUAUCGGUUUUCACAAUAAUUAUUAUUUAUUGAAUGAAAAUGGAUAGCGUCAUUUCGCAAUAUUUGAAUGAAAAUAGAUUGUUUGGUUCUACGAGUAUAUAAAUACGGGUAAUUGGGUUAUUGAGUUAAUUGUCGUGAUUUUCAUGAAACCAUUUAGUAAAAUGAAUAAACUGGUGCUACUGUUUUUGAUCGUUGGUCUGUGCAAGACCAUAGAUGCUUGCUGUGCCAACAGAUGUGAGUCAGUGGCCGUGGUCAUACCUGUAGCAACCCCGUGUGCAUGUUCCAAUGCCUGUGCGACAUCUAACUCCAUGCCUUGUUCAACACCUAACUGCAUAUCUUCCUCAACAUCUUGUAACAGUUGUGGCAGAUCUGAUUGUACGAAAACUUGUAAAUGUAAAUCUUCAUGUAACUGUGGAUGUAUGGAUCCUGAGUGUCAAUGCCUGAAAGCUUUAACCAAUUUCCCGGAAGUCGAAUACCCGAUGCCUUCCUAUGGAUGCAGUAGAACAUAUUAUUAUUAAUUACGUCAUUGUGAUUCGGUGCUUUAUGGAACAUGCCUCAAUAAAUUGAUGUGAAUACCUA